UGAGCUUGCUUCAAUUGCCGGCGACCGGCGCACGGGUGAGUAACGCGUAUCCCUCCUUCCGCUUACUCGGGGAUAGCCUUUCGAAAGAAAGAUUCCUUCCGAUGGUAUCUUAAGCACGCAUGAGAUUAAGAUUAAAGAUUUAUCGGUAAGCGAUGGGGAUGCGUUCCAUUCGGCAGUUGGCGGGGUAACGGCCCACCAAACCUACGAUGGAUAGGGGUUCUGAGAGGAAGGUCCCCCACAUUGGAACUGAGACACGGUCCAAACUCCUACGGGAGGCAGCAGUGAGGAAUAUUGGUCAAUGGGCGAGAGCCUGAACCAGCCAAGUAGCGUGAAGGAUGACGGCCCUACGGGUUGUAAACUUCUUUUGUGCGGGAAUAAAGGAACCUACGUGUAGGUUUUUGCAUGUACCGUAACGAAUAAGCAUCGGCUAACUCCGUGCCAGCAGCCGCGGUAAUACGGAGGAUGCGAGCGUUAUCCGGAUUUAUUGGGUUUAAAGGGAGCGUAGACGGGUUUUUAAGUCAGCUGUGAAAGUUUGGGGCUCAACCUUAAAAUUGCAGUUGAAACUGGAGACCUUGAGUACGGUUGAGGCAGGCGGAAUUCGUGGUGUAGCGGUGAAAUGCUUAGAUAUCACGAAGAACUCCGAUUG
RNAcentral lists this ribosomal RNA (646 nucleotides) under uncultured Bacteroides sp. RNAcentral's name for it is "bacterial SSU rRNA". It matches the Rfam family "Bacterial small subunit ribosomal RNA", at positions 75 to 715 of the family's 1533-position model. Lineage: Bacteria; Pseudomonadati; Bacteroidota; Bacteroidia; Bacteroidales; Bacteroidaceae. The record is from RNAcentral.